AGUGAGCGCUGGCGGUAGGCCUAACACAUGCAAGUCGAACGGCAGCACAGUAAGAGCUUGCUCUUACGGGUGGCGAGUGGCGGACGGGUGAGGAAUACAUCGGAAUCUACUUUUUCGUGGGGGAUAACGUAGGGAAACUUACGCUAAUACCGCAUACGACCUACGGGUGAAAGCAGGGGAUCUUCGGACCUUGCGCGAUUGAAUGAGCCGAUGUCGGAUUAGCUAGUUGGCGGGGUAAAGGCCCACCAAGGCGACGAUCCGUAGCUGGUCUGAGAGGAUGAUCAGCCACACUGGAACUGAGACACGGUCCAGACUCCUACGGGAGGCAGCAGUGGGGAAUAUUGGACAAUGGGCGCAAGCCUGAUCCGGCCAUACCGCGUGGGUGAAGAAGGCCUUCGGGUUGUAAAGCCCUUUUGUUGGGAAAGAAAAGCAGCAGAUUAAUACCCCGCUGUUCUGACGGUACCCAAAGAAUAAGCACCGGCUAACUUCGUG
This 492-nucleotide ribosomal RNA is filed under the name uncultured bacterium. Its description in RNAcentral is "partial 16S ribosomal RNA". It matches the Rfam family "Bacterial small subunit ribosomal RNA", at positions 29 to 507 of the family's 1533-position model. The record is from RNAcentral.